RNAcentral lists this ribosomal RNA (253 nucleotides) under uncultured bacterium. RNAcentral describes it as "partial 16S ribosomal RNA". It matches the Rfam family "Bacterial small subunit ribosomal RNA", at positions 524 to 776 of the family's 1533-position model. The record is from RNAcentral.
UACAGAGGUCUCAAGCGUUGUUCGGAUUCAUUGGGCGUAAAGGGUGCGUAGGCGGCGCGGUAAGUCGGGUGUGAAAUCUCUGGGCUCAACCCAGAGACUGCAUCCGAAACUGAAGAGCUUGGGUUCUGGAGGGGAAAGCGGAAUUCCUGGUGUAGCAGUGAAAUGCGUAGAUAUCAGGAGGAACACCGGUGGCGAAGGCGGCUUUCUGGACAGAUACCGACGCUGAGGCACGAAAGCUAGGGGAGCAAACAGG